RNAcentral lists this long non-coding RNA (774 nucleotides) under Phoenix dactylifera (date palm). RNAcentral describes it as "long non-coding RNA (PDAC_LNC008270)". The record is from RNAcentral. Lineage: Eukaryota; Viridiplantae; Streptophyta; Magnoliopsida; Arecales; Arecaceae.
ACAAAAUACUGAGUAUGAGCCUAUUGAUACUUAACUAAAAAUUAGUUUUAGAAGGGCUCAAGUUGCUGAAUUUCAGCUUUUCAAAUUUGAGAGUGAAGUCUCCCCCUAUUUCAUCCAAAUGUUUCCAAUUUGACCUUUUGAAUUACUCCCCCUUUCUUUUAUAGUUCAUUAAAGAUGAAACUUCAAAAAUUUGAGAUAAAGCAUUAGUUUCAGAUUAUAUAUCGAGGUGUGAAAGGUAUGUGCCAAAUUCUGAAAUUCGAUUUAAGUCUUAGACUUUAACAUUUUCAUUGUUACAAAUUUCUCCCCCUUAAAUGUACAGUCUUUCCUAAUAUAAUUUUCAACCUUGUUUGUCAACUUAUACUCUUUUCUUGCUUCUCCCCCUUUUUGUUAUCAUCAAAUAGGUGCAUGGUAAUAGAUAAGUAGACACAAUAAAUAAUAAACAGUUCAAUUUCAUUGAUCAAAAUGGAACAUUGUAAGACAUUAAUGUCAAAACAAAACAAAUACAAUGUUCCUCAAUCAAGGUACAAAGUACAUGAUCAACACAAAAUACAUAUGAGAACUAGAUAUAUAUCCUAGGCUCUAAUCAUAAUGCUAAUAUCAGCCUAGGGGGUAUCUAAUGGCUGUGAUCUAGUCCUCAUCCUCCGAGCAUAUGUGGCGAGUGGAGGUCGAGCCUGAUGGGACUGAGUCUGGCGUGGAGCUCGGUGAGCUGGAUGACUCUGUGCCGAAAUCUCUGACUUAGCUGCCUGGGGCACAGAUGGACCAUGAACCUCUCUC